AUUCCAGCUCCAAUAGCGUAUAUUAAAGUUGUUGCAGUUAAAAAGCUCGUAGUUGGACUUCUGAUUCGAAAGAUCGGUCCGCCGCAAGGCGAGCACUGAUUCUUCGAGUCUUCCUCUCGUAGUUGUUUGGCGCACUUGAUUGGGUGCCAGAUGAAUAUGGGACCUUUACUUUGAAAAAAUUAGAGUGUUCAAAGCAGGCAAUCGCUUGAAUACAUUAGCAUGGAAUAAUAGAAUAGGACUUUGGUUCUAUUUUGUUGGUUUCUAGGACCGAAGUAAUGAUUAAUAGGGACAGUUGGGGGCAUUAGUAUUUAAUUGUCAGAGGUGAAAUUCUUGGAUUUAUGAAAGACUAACUACUGCGAAAGCAUUUGCCAAGGAUGUUUUCAUCA
This 386-nucleotide ribosomal RNA is filed under the name Choanoflagellata sp. Its description in RNAcentral is "partial small subunit ribosomal RNA". It matches the Rfam family "Eukaryotic small subunit ribosomal RNA", at positions 582 to 975 of the family's 1831-position model. Lineage: Eukaryota; Choanoflagellata. The record is from RNAcentral.